This is an RNA transcript of Ziziphus jujuba (common jujube), 1510 nucleotides long. RefSeq lists it as uncharacterized. The transcript is spliced from 3 exons. The record is from RefSeq and is a predicted model, not a curated record. Lineage: Eukaryota; Viridiplantae; Streptophyta; Magnoliopsida; Rosales; Rhamnaceae.
UAAAUAUUCCCUUUUUUUCUCCUAGAAAAGAAAAUGAAAUCUUGAAAAAUUGGUGACCAGGUUCAAUGAAUCUGGAGAAUACCAUCCUUUUUCAGCCUCACUAUUUUUUAAACCGUGUUUAAUGGUCGGAAAAGACAUCACUCACACUUGCACACACCCAAAGAAAGAAAAUGAGGAGGGUUUUUUGACCAUUUUUUCAUGGCCUUAUUGCUUGCUCUUUCUUCUUCUUCUUCAUCUAUUUAUACUCGUUCUUUAUCUUCUAUUUCCUCUCUUUCUGCAGCUUUCAAUUGAAUUUAAUGGAUCUACAAUGCCUCCGUCGUCGAUCUGAUUUCUUAGAAAAUUUGAUUUUGCUCGAUACAUGCAAAGUUAAAAACCCAUAUUUAUGCAUCUGGGUUUGUUUUGGAGUGGGGAUGAUGAUCAGGAUGUAAACUAUAAUAUUGAUUUUCUAUACAACAAAGAUGGCUGCUCAAAACCCUUUUCUUUAAGCCAUGGAGCUUAUUCAUGGCUAUAUUCGCAUGGAGUACGAGAAUGCGGCUUUUUUUCAAGGAAUGAAUGGUGGAAUUUGCAUCCUGACAAAGUGGAAUAAUGAAACAGAAAAUGUCGGCGAUAGAGACUUGUCCUGGCAACAAGAAAGAGAAGGAAAAUGGUGGUGGGAGGUUGAUAAGGCUAUGAACAAGACUGCGCUGGAUCAGAAUCUAGUCUUGUUAGAGAAAUGGACUUUACUCUUUCUCUCUACUUUUCCAUUCCACUUUUCUCAGGCAAGGAAACGGGCGCAUGUACAAAUAUGUCACAAAAGGGACUUAUCUGGCAUUGAAGUCACGCUUGAAAGUUGCAAACAGGUGGUGAGCUUUCAAAUCACAUGCAAAGCACGAGUUUAAGCAACAUUCCGCAUCCUCCCCACCAUACUUCUUAUUCUUCCUCAGAUGCUAAUCUUUCAUAGAUCUUUUUGAUGCUCUACGAUCACGAUGAUGUUGGUCGAGAUAUUUCAUACAGAACUAGGUUUGCCAAUUAAGCACCGGCGUUUGAAACAGCAAAACAUGCUGGUUUUAAGGGUGGUAGUGUGUGCUUGAUUGGAGAUUUCUGUGUUCUGUACUUUCACUCUGAAGAGAGUUCCCCUUUCAAACUUCAAAGAAAACCUCUGUGAUCAUGUAUGUGUUGGAGAUCCAUUUUCUACACCAUGAUCAUAAAAAAUCUGCUGCCAGGCCUUUUGAUUCCUGUAUUUUAACAGAGAAUGAAAGCUAGCAGUCUUGUGUUUUAAACACUUAAAAAUAUAUAGAUAUAUAUAUAGAUAGAGCUGUAUGAGAAUCUGUAAGUUAAGUAUUUUUGCAUAUUCUUAUUUUUAUUAAAUUCCCUUUUCCUUCAAUGUAAGAGAGUCUUGUUGGUUUACCUUUCAAAUUAGUUUCUAUAUUUUCCGAUAUAUACUGUAAUUGUAAUUCGUAAUGUGUGUUUCUUCAUAAAUUUGAAGAAAGGUUUUUACCCCUAAUUAAUUCUAUGUCAUUUCGAUUGACUA